Molecule: long non-coding RNA, 1398 nt
Organism: Esox lucius (northern pike)
Lineage: Eukaryota; Metazoa; Chordata; Actinopteri; Esociformes; Esocidae
Source: Ensembl
UCAACACUGGCUGAUGGCAGUUGUGCUGCAUCUACCACGCUGCGGUGAUGUGUGCUGUAGGGUCUGUGUUUCAGCGCGUUUAGCUUUGCUUGUAUUCGGACGCAUUUCAUGUCGUGGUAGAAAUUGGACACCUCAGGUUCCUGGUCCAAGGCAUCAGUCUCCGCGAUCCUGUUCGCUUUAACUGUGGUCAUGUUGUGGUCACACAGUGCUGUACAAGGAGCCGUGGCAGACAGGGAGGUUCUGGAAUCCCAGACAUUGGAGCAUGUCAGGUCAUACUUCUUGAACAGCUCGUGUAUUCGCUGGGGUUCAGUGCAUCGCACAUGUAUCAUCCUUGUUGCGGUCCCGGGCACUAACACCGUAACACUGUGAGGUUCCUGCAGGGUAGAAAAUACAGAAGUAAUAUAAACACGCUUGGUAUAUACAGCAUGUCUUACAAACUUACAUGUUUGUUGUGCAGCUUAAGUAUGGUCAUCUUGUCCGCGAUGGUCAGUUCCCUCCUGAGUAUCCACGCGCACCCUUUUACAAAUUCCACCGUGUUACACACAUGGUCAUAAAAGCUGUCCCCUUGUGUGAUGGUGGUGUGCGUGACACUGUAUUUGUUGGUGCUGACAGGCACUAGAGGUGUGUCAUCCAGCAGUGUAUCCAAUGCUUCCCACUCCAUUGAGCCACGUCCCGGUUCCACCCAUAGAGCUUUCAUCACACUUAGGAGCUGUUGAAUAUACGCAGAGACUCUUUUAAAUUCUACUUGAACACAAAUGAUUGUCAGAUUUUCGGUUUUAGAAUGGUUGUAUAUCCAUCUGCUCAUAUACCACUUAGUUAUUCCAUCGGUCACAAAGUUGAUGUGUGCCUGUGGGACACAGCACCAUCUCACAGCUAUUGUGAUGGUAUCCAUUAGGCUAAGGCUCAGCGCAGAGAAGGAGUUUCAGCUCCUGUUGCUCAGAGUAGAAACACAGAGGAUGCCAUUUAGCACAGAUCAGCGAGGCUUCUAUACACGCAGUGGAGACUCCAAACAGCCGACCGUGGAUUUAUCUGCUGACUUCUCAGUUUGUUCUCGGUCAGCCGUUCCCUGUGCUGCUGGACCAGAAGCAGGUGCACUCCUAUGAACAGUUGGAACGGCCGACCGCGGAUAUCUCUGCUGAAUAUUACUGUGUCACAGGUUGGACUUUCGCAAUGUGGCUGGACCAGGAGCAGGUCCACUCCUCUGAAUAAUUCUAUCUCUGUGUGAAUCUUUGGCUAUGGUUCAGCUGUGGGGGACCUAGAAGGGUUUUCAUCAGUGAACUACAAUACACUUUUGUCUCUUAGGAACUAUCCCACAAGCAAAAGAAAUGACCUCUGAGCUUUGUACGCUGAGAAGUUUUGAAGCCUCCAAGACACACAAGGCUGAGGCGGAGUGAGAAG